Molecule: ribosomal RNA, 253 nt
Filed under: uncultured bacterium
Lineage: Bacteria
Description: partial 16S ribosomal RNA
Rfam family: Bacterial small subunit ribosomal RNA
Source: RNAcentral
UACAGAGACUGCAAGCGUUAUUCGGAUUCACUGGGCGUAAAGAGCGCGCAGGCGGUCGUUCAAGUCGCGUGUGAAAGCCCCCGGCUCAACUGGGGAGGGUCACGCGAUACUGAUCGACUGGAAGGCAGGAGAGGAGAGCGGAAUUCCCGGUGUAGAGGUGAAAUUCGUAGAUAUCUGGAGGAACACCGGUGGCGAAGGCGGCAUCCUGGACCGGCAUUGACGCUGAGGAGCGAAAGCCAGGGGAGCAAACGGG